AGCGAACGCUAGCGGCAGGCUUAACACAUGCAAGUCGAACGGUCCUUCGGGAUAGUGGCGGACGGGUGAGUAACACGUGGGAACGUACCCUUAGGUUCGGAACAACGCAGGGAAACUUGUGCUAAUACCGGAUAAGCCCUUCGGGGGAAAGAUUUAUCGCCUUUGGAGCGGCCCGCGUCUGAUUAGCUUGUUGGUGAGGUAAUGGCUCACCAAGGCUACGAUCAGUAGCUGGUCUGAGAGGAUGGCCAGCCACACUGGGACUGAGACACGGCCCAGACUCCUACGGGAGGCAGCAGUGGGGAAUCUUGCGCAAUGGGCGAAAGCCUGACGCAGCCAUGCCGCGUGGAUGAUGAAGGUCUUAGGAUUGUAAAAUCCUUUCACCGGGGACGAUAAUGACGGUACCCGGAGAAGAAGCCCCGGCUAACUUCGUGCCAGCAGCCGCAGUAA
RNAcentral lists this ribosomal RNA (447 nucleotides) under uncultured bacterium. RNAcentral describes it as "partial 16S ribosomal RNA". It matches the Rfam family "Bacterial small subunit ribosomal RNA", at positions 29 to 523 of the family's 1533-position model. The record is from RNAcentral.